RNAcentral lists this ribosomal RNA (497 nucleotides) under uncultured bacterium. RNAcentral's name for it is "partial 16S ribosomal RNA". It matches the Rfam family "Bacterial small subunit ribosomal RNA", at positions 28 to 507 of the family's 1533-position model. The record is from RNAcentral.
GACGAACGCUGGCGGCGUGCCUAAUACAUGCAAGUAGAACGCUGAAGAGAGGAGCUUCCUCUUCUUGGAUGAGUUGCGAACGGGUGAGUAACGCGUAGGUAACCUGCCUUGUAGCGGGGGAUAACUAUUGGAAACGAUAGCUAAUACCGCAUAACAAUGGAUGACACAUGUCAUUUAUUUGAAAGGGGCAAUUGCUCCACUACAAGAUGGACCUGCGUUGUAUUAGCUAGUAGGUGAGGUAAUGGCUCACCUAGGCGACGAUACAUAGCCGACCUGAGAGGGUGAUCGGCCACACUGGGACUGAGACACGGCCCAGACUCCUACGGGAGGCAGCAGUAGGGAAUCUUCGGCAAUAGGGGCAACCCUGACCGAGCAACGCCGCGGGAGUGAAGAAGGUUGUCGGAUCGUAAAGCUCUGUUGUAAGUCAAGAACGGGUGUGAGAGUGGAAAGUUCACACUGUGACGGUAGCUGACCAGAAAGGGACGGCUAACUACGUG